Molecule: transfer RNA, 72 nt
Filed under: Ovis aries (sheep)
Lineage: Eukaryota; Metazoa; Chordata; Mammalia; Artiodactyla; Bovidae
Rfam family: tRNA
About the family: Transfer RNA (tRNA) molecules are approximately 80 nucleotides in length. Their secondary structure includes four short double-helical elements and three loops (D, anti-codon, and T loops).
Source: Rfam by way of RNAcentral
UCCCUGGUGGCUCAGAUAGUAGAGAAUCUGCAUGCAAUGCAGGAGACCCAGGUUUGAUCCCUGGAUCGGGAA